GCCCGCAUAGCUCAGUGGUAGAGCGCGUCACUAGUAUUUCUGAUCUUCUCGAUCAGAGAGAGAUCUGCGCCAUGACGAGGUCUUCAGUUCAACUCUGGAUGUGGGCA
Non-coding RNA from Podospora appendiculata, 107 nucleotides. The record is from the annotation of a GenBank genome assembly. NCBI's taxonomy places the organism in Eukaryota, Fungi, Ascomycota, Sordariomycetes, Sordariales, Podosporaceae.